GGGGUUGUGGCUCAAUGGUAGAGUGCUUGCCUAGCAUGUGUGAGGUACUGGGUUCAAUUCUCAGCACCA
Molecule: transfer RNA, 69 nt
Filed under: Urocitellus parryii (Arctic ground squirrel)
Lineage: Eukaryota; Metazoa; Chordata; Mammalia; Rodentia; Sciuridae
Also listed under: 2 other names
Description: Spermophilus parryii (Arctic ground squirrel) tRNA
Rfam family: tRNA
About the family: Transfer RNA (tRNA) molecules are approximately 80 nucleotides in length. Their secondary structure includes four short double-helical elements and three loops (D, anti-codon, and T loops).
Source: Rfam by way of RNAcentral